UACGGAGGGUGCAAGCGUUAUCCGGAUUUACUGGGUUUAAAGGGUGUGUAGGCGGAUUAUUAAGUCAGCGGUGAAAUCUCCGGGCUCAACCCGGAAACUGCCAUUGAUACUAUUAGUCUUGAAUAUUGUUGAGGUGGGCGGAACGGGUCAUGUAGCGGUGAAAUGCAUAGAUAUGACCCGGAACACCGAUUGCGAAGGCAGCCCACUAAGCAAUGAUUGACGCUGAGGCACGAAAGCGUGGGGAUCAAACAGG
Molecule: ribosomal RNA, 253 nt
Filed under: uncultured bacterium
Lineage: Bacteria
Description: partial 16S ribosomal RNA
Rfam family: Bacterial small subunit ribosomal RNA
Source: RNAcentral